GGUAACACCAGAGCACGCACCCUGAGCUGCCCUUGCCAGUGUCACCUGUCACUCCUCAGGGAUUUGGGCUGUUUGGCCAGAAAACGGCUCUUCUUCCCUGAAGCCCGCCUGAUUUAAGUGCAUCUUUUCUUCAAGUACUCAAUGAAGCAGAAAAACAAUGUUAGUCUUCGGUGGCCUGGGAAAAUAACAAAAGUUCGUGAAGGUGGUCUCCAGAUGAUACAGCCCUCACCGAAGCAAUUGUGCCGUUCUGCGUUUCCCCCAAUGAGGGAGCAAAUCUAUGAUGGCAGCAGGGCUGGCAAGUGCAGAUUCCUGUUGCUCCUGGACUCACUAAGAAGGUAAGAGGGAAACACAGUGAUGACUGGAUAUAAAACCAGGAGCAAGGACAGAAAGCAGAGGAUAUGUACGUACUCAGAAUGGUUUA
Long non-coding RNA from Harpia harpyja (harpy eagle), 421 nucleotides. RefSeq lists it as uncharacterized. NCBI's taxonomy places the organism in Eukaryota, Metazoa, Chordata, Aves, Accipitriformes, Accipitridae. The transcript has 3 exons. The record is from RefSeq and is a predicted model, not a curated record.